UACGAAGGGGGCUAGCGUUGCUCGGAAUUACUGGGCGUAAAGCGCACGUAGGCGGGCUAUUAAGUCGGGGGUGAAAUCCUGGAGCUCAACUCCAGAACUGCCUUCGAAACUGAUAGUCUUGAGUUCGGGAGAGGUGAGUGGAACUGCGAGUGUAGAGGUGAAAUUCGUAGAUAUUCGCAAGAACACCAGUGGCGAAGGCGGCUCACUGGCCCGAUACUGACGCUGAGGCACGAAAGCGUGGGGAGCAAACAGG
RNAcentral lists this ribosomal RNA (253 nucleotides) under uncultured bacterium. Its description in RNAcentral is "partial 16S ribosomal RNA". It matches the Rfam family "Bacterial small subunit ribosomal RNA", at positions 524 to 776 of the family's 1533-position model. The record is from RNAcentral.